CCUACGGGUGGCAGCAGUGGGGAAUAUUGCACAAUGGGGGAAACCCUGAUGCAGCAACGCCGCGUGAGUGAAGAAGUAUUUCGGUAUGUAAAGCUCUAUCAGCAGGGAAGAAAAUGACAGUACCUGACUAAGAAGCCCCGGCUAACUACGUGCCAGCAGCCGCGGUAAUACGUAGGGGGCAAGCGUUAUCCGGAUUUACUGGGUGUAAAGGGAGCGUAGACGGCUGCGCAAGUCAGAAGUGAAAGCCCGGGGCUCAACCGCGGGACUGCUUUUGAAACUGUGUAGCUAGAGUGCAGGAGAGGUAAGUGGAAUUCCUAGUGUAGCGGUGAAAUGCGUAGAUAUUAGGAGGAACACCGGUGGCGAAGGCAGCUUACUAAACUGCCACUGACAUUGAUGCUCGAAAGUGUGGGUAUCAAACAGGAUUAGAUACCCCAGUAGUC
Molecule: ribosomal RNA, 440 nt
Filed under: uncultured bacterium
Lineage: Bacteria
Description: partial 16S ribosomal RNA
Rfam family: Bacterial small subunit ribosomal RNA
Source: RNAcentral